This 497-nucleotide ribosomal RNA is filed under the name uncultured bacterium. Its description in RNAcentral is "partial 16S ribosomal RNA". It matches the Rfam family "Bacterial small subunit ribosomal RNA", at positions 28 to 507 of the family's 1533-position model. The record is from RNAcentral.
GAUGAACGCUGGCGGCGUGCCUAAUACAUGCAAGUCGAGCGAACAGACGAGGAGCUUGCUCCUCUGACGUUAGCGGCGGACGGGUGAGUAACACGUGGAUAACCUACCUAUAAGACUGGGAUAACUUCGGGAAACCGGAGCUAAUACCGGAUAAUAUAUUGAACCGCAUGGUUCAAUAGUGAAAGACGGUUUUGCUGUCACUUAUAGAUGGAUCCGCGCCGCAUUAGCUAGUUGGUAAGGUAACGGCUUACCAAGGCAACGAUGCGUAGCCGACCUGAGAGGGUGAUCGGCCACACGAGAACGUAGACACGGUCCAGGCUCCUACGGGAGGCAGCAGUAGGGAAUCUUCCGCAAUGGGCGAAAGCCUGACGGAGCAACGCCGCGUGAGUGAUGAAGGUCUUCGGAUCGUAAAACUCUGUUAUUAGGGAAGAACAAAUGUGUAAGUAACUAUGCACGUCUUGACGGUACCUAAUCAGAAAGCCACGGCUAACUACGUG